GAUGAACGCUGGCGGCGUGCCUAAUACAUGCAAGUCGAGCGAACAGACGAGGAGCUUGCUCCUCUGACGUUAUCGGCGGACGGGAGAGUAACACGGGGAUAAACUACCUAUAAGACUGGGAUAAUUUCGGGAAACCGGAGCUAAGGCCGGAUAAUAUAUUGAACCGCAUGGGUCAAUAGUUGAAGACGGUUUUGCUGUCGCUUAUAGCUGGAUCCGCCCCGCAUUAGUUAGUGGGUACGGUAACGGCUUACCAAGGCAACGAUGCGUAGCCGACCUGAGAGGGUGAUCGGCCACCCUGGCACUGAGACAGGGUCCCGACUCCUACACGAGGAAGCAGCAGGGAAUCUUACGCAAUGGGGGAAAGCCUGACGUAGGACCGCGGCGUGAGUGAUGAAGGUCUAAUGCCCGUUAAGCUCUGUUAUCCGGAGAGAACAAAUGUGUAAGUAACUGUGCUCGUCUUGACGGUACCUAGUCAAAAAGCCCCGGCUAACUACGUG
RNAcentral lists this ribosomal RNA (497 nucleotides) under uncultured bacterium. Its description in RNAcentral is "partial 16S ribosomal RNA". It matches the Rfam family "Bacterial small subunit ribosomal RNA", at positions 28 to 507 of the family's 1533-position model. The record is from RNAcentral.